UUAAAGGCAGUUUUAUAAAACCUCCCUUAAAUUUACAGAAUAAAGCAAAUACACAGGAGGAAAUAUACCACCAAGGAUUAAAGAAGCUCAUGUCAGGACCAGGGAGUUUGCAGUCACAUAGAGUGACUCCCAGGGAAAUCAAAACAACCAGUAACCAUGGUGGUGAGUAUUGUGGAGCUAUGUGCAAGGGUGCUAAGAAAAUAUGGAGAGAUGAAGUCUUGGUCUGCCUGGGACAAUGUGAAAAGGUUUCCCAGAGAAGAAACAAUCUUCAGCUGGGAUAAGCCAUAUAAGCAGGAAAUAGAUAGGAGAAAAAAAUGGAGAUAGGGUCUGUGCUCCGACACCUCAUCAUGAGAGAGGACUUCCCUAGCCAACUUCUCUGACCUCCCUAGGUAAGACAACAACCAUAUCCACUCAGCACUCCUUUAAGUCCCUUUAAGUCUGGCUUAAUG
This 449-nucleotide long non-coding RNA is filed under the name Homo sapiens (human). RNAcentral's name for it is "HSALNT0040413". The record is from RNAcentral. Lineage: Eukaryota; Metazoa; Chordata; Mammalia; Primates; Hominidae.